GUGAAUCAUCGAAUCUUUGAACGCAAAUUGCACUCUCUUCGGAGAGUAUGCCUGUUUGAGGGUCAGCAUAAAAAAAAUCGACGUAGUCGCUGUUUCGCGGUGACAUUCGUCGGAAAUUGGGACAUCUUAAAUCUUUGGGUUUUUUAAGCGGCUUAAAAUUUUCUUUACGUUUACACGAACGUUUCUACGCUUAUACUUCUUCCACACGUUUAAGGUAUCGCUCUUUAUUAGCCGUGGC
This 238-nucleotide unclassified non-coding RNA is filed under the name Glomus sp. Its description in RNAcentral is "partial contains 5.8S ribosomal RNA and internal transcribed spacer 2". The stretch from base 1 to 65 matches the Rfam family "5.8S ribosomal RNA", at positions 84 to 154 of the family's 154-position model. Lineage: Eukaryota; Fungi; Glomeromycota; Glomeromycetes; Glomerales; Glomeraceae. The record is from RNAcentral.